CCUACGGGUGGCAGCAGUAGGGAAUAUUGGACAAUGGGGGCAACCCUGAUCCAGCAAUGCCGCGUGAGUGAUGAAGGCCUUAGGGUUGUAAAGCUCUUUUACCCGAGAUGCAGUAUCGGGAGAAUAAGCUCCGGCUAACUCCGUGCCAGCAGCCGCGGUAAUACGGAGGGAGCUAGCGUUGUUCGGAAUUACUGGGCGUAAAGCGCACGUAGGCGGCUAUUUAAGUCAGAGGUGAAAGCCCGGGGCUCAACCCCGGAACUGCCUUUGAGACUGGAUAGCUUGAAUCCAGGAGAGGUGAGUGGAAUUCCGAGUGUAGAGGUGAAAUUCGUAGAUAUUCGGAAGAACACCAGUGGCGAAGGCGGCUCACUGGCUGUAUUGACGCUGAGGUGCGAAAGCGUGGGGAGCAAACAGGAUUAGAUACCCUAGUAGUC
This 431-nucleotide ribosomal RNA is filed under the name uncultured bacterium. Its description in RNAcentral is "partial 16S ribosomal RNA". It matches the Rfam family "Bacterial small subunit ribosomal RNA", at positions 338 to 795 of the family's 1533-position model. The record is from RNAcentral.